RNAcentral lists this ribosomal RNA (301 nucleotides) under uncultured bacterium. RNAcentral's name for it is "partial 16S ribosomal RNA". It matches the Rfam family "Bacterial small subunit ribosomal RNA", at positions 509 to 807 of the family's 1533-position model. The record is from RNAcentral.
CAGCCGCCGCGGGAAAACGUAGGGUGCGAGCGUUAAUCGGAAUUACUGGGCGUAAAGCGUGCGUAGGCGGUUCGUUAAGUCUGUUGUGAAAGCCCCGGGCUCAACCUGGGAAUGGCAAUGGAUACUGGCGAGCUAGAGUGUGUCAGAGGAUGGUGGAAUUCCCGGUGUAGCGGUGAAAUGCGUAGAGAUGUGGAGGAACACCAGUGGCGAAGGCGACUCUCUGGUCUGUAACUGACGCUGAGGAGCGAAAGCGUGGGGAGCGAACAGGAUUAGAUACCCCAGUAGUCCCUGUCUCUUAUAC